RNAcentral lists this ribosomal RNA (1984 nucleotides) under human gut metagenome. Its description in RNAcentral is "bacterial LSU rRNA". It matches the Rfam family "Bacterial large subunit ribosomal RNA", at positions 1 to 1999 of the family's 2925-position model. The record is from RNAcentral.
UUAAGUGAAUAAGGGCGCACGGUGGAUGCCUUGGCACUAGGAGCCGAUGAAGGACGGGACUAACACCGAUAUGCUUUGGGGAGCUGUAAGUAAGCUAUGAUCCAGAGAUUUCCGAAUGGGGGAACCCAAUAUCUUUUAUAGGAUAUUACUUUUCAGUGAAUACAUAGCUGAUUAGAGGUAGACGCAGAGAACUGAAACAUCUUAGUACCUGCAGGAAGAGAAAGAAAAUUCGAUUCCCUGAGUAGCGGCGAGCGAAACGGGAAGAGCCCAAACCAACAAGCUUGCUUGUUGGGGUUGUAGGACUCCAAUAUGGUAGUCUGUUAGUAUAGUUGAAGGAUUUGGAAAAUUCCGCUAAAGAGGGUGAAAGCCCCGUAGACGAAAUGCUGACAACACCUAGGAGGAUCCUGAGUACGGCGGAACACGAGAAAUUCCGUCGGAAUCCGCGGGGACCAUCCCGCAAGGCUAAAUACUCCCUAGUGACCGAUAGUGAACCAGUACCGUGAGGGAAAGGUGAAAAGCACCCCGGAAGGGGAGUGAAAUAGAUCCUGAAACCGUGUGCCUACAACAAGUCAAAGCUCGUUAAUGAGUGAUGGCGUGCCUUUUGUAGAAUGAACCGGCGAGUUACGAUUGCAUGCGAGGUUAAGUCGAAGAGACGGAGCCGCAGCGAAAGCGAGUCUGAAUAGGGCGAAUGAGUAUGUAGUCGUAGACCCGAAACCAUGUGAUCUACCCAUGUCCAGGUUGAAGGUGCGGUAAAACGCACUGGAGGACCGAACCCACGUACGUUGAAAAGUGCGGGGAUGAGGUGUGGGUAGCGGAGAAAUUCCAAACGAACUUGGAGAUAGCUGGUUCUCUCCGAAAUAGCUUUAGGGCUAGCCUCGGAAUUGAGAAUGAUGGAGGUAGAGCACUGUUUGGACUAGGGGCCCAUCUCGGGUUACCGAAUUCAGAUAAACUCCGAAUGCCAUUCAUUUAUAUCCGGGAGUCAGACUGCGAGUGAUAAGAUCCGUAGUCGAAAGGGAAACAGCCCAGACCACCAGCUAAGGUCCCAAAAUAUAUGUUAAGUGGAAAAGGAUGUGGGGUUGCACAGACAACUAGGAUGUUGGCUUAGAAGCAGCCACCAUUUAAAGAGUGCGUAAUAGCUCACUAGUCGAGUGACCCUGCGCCGAAAAUGUACCGGGGCUAAACAUAUUACCGAAGCUGUGGACUACACCAUUAGGUGUAGUGGUAGGAGAGCGUUCUAAGGGCGUUGAAGGUCGAUCGUGAGGACGGCUGGAGCGCUUAGAAGUGAGAAUGCCGGUAUGAGUAGCGAAAGACAGGUGAGAAUCCUGUCCACCGUAUGACUAAGGUUUCCUGGGGAAGGCUCGUCCGCCCAGGGUUAGUCGGGACCUAAGCCGAGGCCGAUAGGCGUAGGCGAUGGACAACAGGUUGAUAUUCCUGUACCAGUUGUUUUUGUUUGAGCAAUGGAGGGACGCAGUAGGCUAAGGAAUGCAUGCGAUUGGAAGUGCAUGUCCAAGCAAUGAGUCUUGAGUAGAGUUAAAUGCUUUACUCUCUAAGGACAAGUUGUGACGGGGAGCGAAAUAAUAGUAGCGAAGUUCCUGAUGUCACACUGCCAAGAAAAGCUUCUAGUGAGAAAACAACUGCCCGUACCGUAAACCGACACAGGUAGUCGAGGAGAGUAUCCUAAGGUGAGCGAGCGAACUCUCGUUAAGGAACUCGGCAAAAUGACCCCGUAACUUCGGGAGAAGGGGUGCUGACUUCGGUCAGCCGCAGUGAAUAGGCCCAAGCGACUGUUUAUCAAAAACACAGGUCUCUGCAAAAUCGUAAGAUGAAGUAUAGGGGCUGACGCCUGCCCGGUGCUGGAAGGUUAAGAGGAUGGGUUAGCUUCGGCGAAGCUCAGAAUUGAAGCCCCAGUAAACGGCGGCCGUAACUAUAACGGUCCUAAGGUAGCGAAAUUCCUUGUCGGGUAAGUUCCGACCCGCACGAAAGG